GCUUAACACAUGCAAGUCGAGCGCGAAAGUCCCUUCGGGGAUGAGUAGAGCGGCGGACGGGUGAGUAACGCGUAGGAAUCUGCCUGGUAGUGGGGGAUAACUCGGGGAAACUCGAGCUAAUACCGCAUACGCCCCAUGGGGGAAAGCGGGGGACCUUCGGGCCUCGCGCUAUCAGAUGAGCCUGCGUCGGAUUAGCUAGUUGGUGGGGUAAUGGCCCACCAAGGCGACGAUCCGUAGCUGGUCUGAGAGGAUGAUCAGCCACACUGGGACUGAGACACGGCCCAGACUCCUACGGGAGGCAGCAGUGGGGAAUAUUGGACAAUGGGGGCAACCCUGAUCCAGCCAUACCGCGUGUGUGAAGAAGGCCUUCGGGUUGUAAAGCACUUUCAGUGGGGAGGAAAAGGCUCCGGCUAAUAUCCGGGGCUCGUGACGCUACCCACAGAAGAAGCACCGGCAAACUCCGUGCCAGCAGCCGCGGUAAUAC
Molecule: ribosomal RNA, 484 nt
Filed under: uncultured Gammaproteobacteria bacterium
Lineage: Bacteria; Pseudomonadati; Pseudomonadota; Gammaproteobacteria
Description: bacterial SSU rRNA
Rfam family: Bacterial small subunit ribosomal RNA
Source: RNAcentral